GGCCAGACUCCUACGGGAGGCAGCAGUGGGGAAUAUUGGGCAAUGGGCGCAAGCCUGACCCAGCAACGCCGCGUGAAGGAAAAAGGCUUUCGGGUUGUAAACUUCUUUUGACAGGGAAGAGCAGAAGACGGUACCUGUCGAAUAAGCCACGGCUAACUACGCGCCAGCAGCCGCGGUAAUACGUAGGUGGCAAGCGUUGUCCGGAUUUACUGGGUGUAAAGGGCGUGUAGCCGGGCUGACAAGUCAGAUGUGAAAUCCGGGGGCUCAACCCCCGAACUGCAUUUGAAACUGUUGGUCUUGAGUAUCGGAGAGGCAGGCGGAAUUCCUAGUGUAGCGGUGAAAUGCGUAGAUAUUAGGAGGAACACCAGUGGCGAAGGCGGCCUGCUGGACGACAACUGACGGUGAGGCGCGAAAGCGUGGGGGGCAAACAGGAUUAGAUACCCUGGUAU
This 449-nucleotide ribosomal RNA is filed under the name uncultured bacterium. Its description in RNAcentral is "bacterial SSU rRNA". It matches the Rfam family "Bacterial small subunit ribosomal RNA", at positions 329 to 793 of the family's 1533-position model. The record is from RNAcentral.